RNAcentral lists this ribosomal RNA (352 nucleotides) under uncultured Anaerolineaceae bacterium. RNAcentral's name for it is "bacterial SSU rRNA". It matches the Rfam family "Bacterial small subunit ribosomal RNA", at positions 1016 to 1382 of the family's 1533-position model. The record is from RNAcentral. Lineage: Bacteria; Bacillati; Chloroflexota; Anaerolineae; Anaerolineales; Anaerolineaceae.
CCCUUCGGGGAGCCUGCACAGGUGCUGCAUGGCUGUCGUCAGCUCGUGUCGUGAGAUGUCCGGUUAAGUCCGGUAACGAGCGCAACCCUUGCUGUAUGUUACAUGUGUCAUACGGGACUGCCGGUAUCAAGCCGGAGGAAGGUGGGGAUGACGUCAAGUCAGCAUGGCCUUUAUGUCUGGGGGCUACACACACGCUACAAUGGCCAGUACAAUAGGUUGCAAAGCCGCGAGGUGGAGCCAAUCCUUAAAGCUGGUCUCAGUUCGGAUUGCAGGCUGCAACUCGCCUGCAUGAAGUCGGAGUUGCUAGUAACCGCGCGUCAGCCAUAGUGCGGUGAAUACGUUCCCGGGCCUU